CCUACGGGAGGCAGCAGUGAGGAAUAUUGGUCAAUGGACGAGAGUCUGAACCAGCCAAGUAGCGUGAAGGAUGACUGCCCUAUGGGUUGUAAACUUCUUUUAUAUGGGAAUAAAACGUUCCACGUGUGGGAUUUUGUAUGUACCAUAUGAAUAAGGAUCGGCUAACUCCGUGCCAGCAGCCGCGGUAAUACGGAGGAUCCGAGCGUUAUCCGGAUUUAUUGGGUUUAAAGGGAGCGUAUGUGGAUUGUUAAGUCAGUUGUGAAAGUUUGCGGCUCAACCGUAAAAUUGCAGUUGAAACUGGCAGUCUUGAGUACAGUAGAGGUGGGCGGAAUUCGUGGUGUAGCGGUGAAAUGCUUAGAUAUCACGAAGAACUCCGAUUGCGAAGGCAGUUCACUGGACUGCAACUGACACUGAGGCUCGAAAGUGUGGGUAUCAAACAGGAUUAGAUACCCCAGUAGUC
This 460-nucleotide ribosomal RNA is filed under the name uncultured bacterium. Its description in RNAcentral is "partial 16S ribosomal RNA". It matches the Rfam family "Bacterial small subunit ribosomal RNA", at positions 338 to 795 of the family's 1533-position model. The record is from RNAcentral.